RNAcentral lists this ribosomal RNA (496 nucleotides) under uncultured bacterium. RNAcentral's name for it is "partial 16S ribosomal RNA". It matches the Rfam family "Bacterial small subunit ribosomal RNA", at positions 29 to 523 of the family's 1533-position model. The record is from RNAcentral.
AUUGAACGCUGGCGGCAUGCUUUACACAUGCAAGUCGAACGGUAGAGGGGGCAACCCCUUGAGAGUGGCGAACGGGUGAGUAAUGCAUCGGAACGUGCCCAGUCGUGGGGGAUAACGCAGCGAAAGCUGUGCUAAUACCGCAUACGAUCUCUGGAUGAAAGCGGGGGACCGAAAGGCCUCGCGCGAUUGGAGCGGCCGAUGUCAGAUUAGGUAGUUGGUGGGGUAAAGGCUCACCAAGCCAACGAUCUGUAGCUGGUCUGAGAGGACGACCAGCCACACUGGGACUGAGACACGGCCCAGACUCCUACGGGAGGCAGCAGUGGGGAAUUUUGGACAAUGGGCGCAAGCCUGAUCCAGCAAUGCCGCGUGCAGGAAGAAGGCCUUCGGGUUGUAGACUGCUUUUGUACGGAACGAAAAGGUCUGGGUUAAUACCCUGGGCACAUGACGGUACCGUAAGAAUAAGCACCGGCUAACUACGUGCCAGCAGCCGCAGUAA